Lotus japonicus is the source of this 1443-nucleotide long non-coding RNA. RefSeq lists it as uncharacterized. The transcript has 2 exons. The record is from RefSeq and is a predicted model, not a curated record. NCBI's taxonomy places the organism in Eukaryota, Viridiplantae, Streptophyta, Magnoliopsida, Fabales, Fabaceae.
UAUAUAUGAGGGAGGCUGCACCUUGCAGUGUAUCCCAUUACAAUAUCUCUUUCUCUCUCUCUUAGUCUUUUCUCUUUACACGCACUACUGAAUAUAGUGCCUGGUUGCCAGCCCUACGGCCUACACCAUGGAAGCUUAUUUUGAACUUGCUAUUACCUCAAAUUCAUUAUGUUCAUAGAAAAUGUGAACCAUCAAGAAUUAAGGGUCCGUUUGGUUUCUAUUUUCUUUUUCUGUCUGCAAAACUGUUACCUAAUUUUCAUUUUAUUUCAUGUUUUUAGUGUUUUGCAUAGGAAAAUGAAUACAUGAAAAUAGAAAAUGAUUACACAGUUUUAGUUUUGUAAUUAAAACUGAAAAUGAAAAUAGAAACCAAAUAGGCCCUAGCUUUUCAAGCGUUUUUUGAUUUCAGAAAUCGGUGCAUUGUAUUUUGCUCCUAACUAUAGAUGGUCUUUCAAGAAAUUGUGUAUUGAAAUUGCUAUCUUAUGCUUUGAUGCAAGGUAGAAACAAAUGCUGUGGGAGCUUUCAGAAACAUCAGUUUCUUUUGAUUUAGACAGAUGUGCCAAGGAUAUCAGGAUAUCAGAAUGGACUGAAGCUACAAAUAAAGAAAACAAACAAGAAGUUUUUGGGCAACUGAUGGUGCUUGCUUAGUGGAAAGAACAAUGACAAGGUAUUCAGAAUUCAGAAACAUUGUAACUGAAAAAGGUUUAGGCAUUUUACCUUAUGUUUCCUUUAACUUUAUUGAGAUCUGCACCCUUCUUAGAGUUUGUUAGGUGCCCUUUACUUCUGGUCCACUGAGUCAUAUGAUUACUUAAUGGAGCUAAUUUGUUUGUAUUGUCUAUUUUAGGCUUUUUUUGGCACGUUUGGAGGUGGGAUAUUCUACACCCUUUACAAGUAGACACUAACGGCUUCCUAUUAUGUGCUUGGAGUUAGAGUAACUCCACCUUGGGUUGUUUUUAUUGAAAUAGUGUUUGAUAACACGUGUUGCUUUUCCUAUUGUGUAUUGAAGGGUAGCUCAUUUUUUCCAUGUCAAAGCACUGGUUGCUUUAAGCACAUGCUGAUAUUCCUUAUAUGUGGGCCUCAAUUUUCUGUGAGUAUUUAAACAUUGUCUUUUGUGAUGUAUUAUAGCAUGAAGAGUGCUAGCAAAACACAUCUGUGAUGAUGCCUUCCUUUAGGUAGCCUUACAAUUGUUCAGUAAAUGUGUCGGUUUUGUUCCAUCCAGCUAAUUGUCCUCGCUUUGGUUGUCUCGGUUGGCAAACAUGGUGUCCACUUAGCUGUGGAACCUUUGGACUGUCCAGCGCAAUGUUGAGCCUUGUUGCCGUUUGGGUCGACUAGAACAUUGUUUAGUGAGAUUCCCACAACUACUGCCUAUUGAAGCCCUAAACAUGGCGGGACUAAUUAUUGGUGACAAAAACUUUCGAUUUUAGAUCUCCCAUAUUUCUCUCUUUA